AAUACAUAGCAAGUCGAACGGACGUUUCUAUGGAAGCUUGCUUCCGCUGAGAAGAGUAGUGGCGAAACGGGUGAGUAACAACGUGGGUAACCUGCCCAUAAGAGGGGGGAUAACAUCCGGAAACGGGUGCUAAUACCGCAUAGUUUUCUUGAUCGCAUGAUCGGGAAAGAAAGGACGGCCUUUGUGCUGUCGCUUAUGGAUGGACCCGCGGCGUAUUAGUUAGUUGGUGAGGUAACGGCUCACCAAGACGAUGAUACGUAGCCGACCUGAGAGGGUGAUCGGCCACAUUGGGACUGAGACACGGCCCAAACUCCUACGGGAGGCAGCAGUAGGGAAUCUUCCGCAAUGGACGAAAGUCUGACGGAGCAACGCCGCGUGAGUGAAGAAAAGGUUUUUCGGAUCGUAAAACUCUGUUGUCAGAGAAGAACAAGUUGGAGAGUAACUGCUCCAGCCUUGACGGUAUCUGACCAGAAAGCCACGGCUAACUACGUGCCAGCCGCAGC
This 503-nucleotide ribosomal RNA is filed under the name uncultured bacterium. Its description in RNAcentral is "bacterial SSU rRNA". It matches the Rfam family "Bacterial small subunit ribosomal RNA", at positions 50 to 518 of the family's 1533-position model. The record is from RNAcentral.